Molecule: ribosomal RNA, 225 nt
Filed under: Clostridioides difficile
Lineage: Bacteria; Bacillati; Bacillota; Clostridia; Peptostreptococcales; Peptostreptococcaceae
Description: partial 23S ribosomal RNA
Rfam family: Bacterial large subunit ribosomal RNA
Source: RNAcentral
GCUUCGGGGAGUUGCACGUAAACUUUGAUCCGAAGAUUUCCGAAUGAGGAAACUCACUUAGAGUAAUGUCUAAGUAUCAUUAAGUGAAUACAUAGCUUAAUGAGGGGAACUCAGGGAACUGAAACAUCUAAGUACCUGAAGGAAGAGAAAGAAAUUCGAUUCCGUAAGUAGCGGCGAGCGAACGCGGAUUAGCCCAAACCAAUAAAGUUUUCUUUAUUGGGGUUG